This 301-nucleotide ribosomal RNA is filed under the name uncultured bacterium. RNAcentral describes it as "partial 16S ribosomal RNA". It matches the Rfam family "Bacterial small subunit ribosomal RNA", at positions 509 to 807 of the family's 1533-position model. The record is from RNAcentral.
CAGUCGCCACGGUAAUACGAAGGGUGCAAGCGUUAAUCGGAAUUACUGGGCGUAAGGCGCACGCAGGCGGUUUGUUAAGUCAGAUGUGAAAUCCCCGAGCUUAACUUGGGAACUGCAUUUGAAACUGGCAAGCUAGAGUCUUGUAGAGGGGGGUAGAAUUCCAGGUGUAGCGGUGAAAUGCGUAGAGAUCGGGAGGAACAUCAGUGGCGAAGGCGGCCAUCUGGGACAACACUGACGCUGAGGCACGAAAGCGUGGGGAGCAAACAGGAUUAGAUACCCGCGUAGUCCCUGUCUCUUAUAC